GACGUAGGGGGCCAGCGUUGCUCGGAAUUACUGGGCGUAAAGGGUUCGUAGGCGGUGCGACAAGUCGGAAGUGAAAUCUCCAGGCUUAACUUGGAGGCUGCUUCCGAAACUGCCGUGCUAGAGUGCGGGAGAGGCGAGUGGAAUUGCAGGUGUAGCGGUGAAAUGCGUAGAUAUCUGCAGGAACACCCGUGGCGAAGGCGGCUCGCUGGACCGCAACUGACGCUGAGGAACGAAAGCUAGGGGAGCAAACAGG
RNAcentral lists this ribosomal RNA (253 nucleotides) under uncultured bacterium. Its description in RNAcentral is "partial 16S ribosomal RNA". It matches the Rfam family "Bacterial small subunit ribosomal RNA", at positions 524 to 776 of the family's 1533-position model. The record is from RNAcentral.